Trematomus bernacchii (emerald rockcod) is the source of this 225-nucleotide long non-coding RNA. RefSeq lists it as uncharacterized. The transcript is spliced from 3 exons. The record is from RefSeq and is a predicted model, not a curated record. Lineage: Eukaryota; Metazoa; Chordata; Actinopteri; Perciformes; Nototheniidae.
AUUACCUCUCUGAACAGUACCAGAAGAAGUUUGAGGAGACAUCCGAGAAUGCCAGAAUAUCUUCUGAAAGACAAGGCAAGGCCAAACAGGAGAUGUAUUCUACCAAUGAGGAGUUCACCGAUAAAAUAAGGACUUUUAAAAGGGAGCCUCCCAUGUUUGAUGAGAUCUGGCCUGAAUAUAACAGAUACCUGAACAUCCUGUUGAAGCGGCCGCCUUCAGAGUGGC